RNAcentral lists this long non-coding RNA (829 nucleotides) under Brachypodium distachyon (stiff brome). RNAcentral's name for it is "long non-coding RNA (BDIS_LNC001500)". The record is from RNAcentral. Lineage: Eukaryota; Viridiplantae; Streptophyta; Magnoliopsida; Poales; Poaceae.
CAGGUUCGUGCUCGGCCCUCUCUGUCCUGCUCUGAUUCUGCUCACGACUGAAAUACAGACAUUGAAUGCCUAGAUAUGCCAACCAGGUAGUGAUUUAGUUUGAGGAUGAGCUUUUUGGGUUGCGGAUUUUGAUAGGUGCCCAAGCUUGAAAAGAUUGUGGUGAACUGCGGGCUGGGUGUGGAUGCGGGGAACUCCAAGGGGCUGGAUGCCGCCAUGAAGGACCUCGCCUCGAUCACUGGCCAGUGGCCCGUCAAGACCAAGGCCAAGAACUCCGUCGCCAGCUUCAAGAUCCGCGAGGGCAACACCAUUGGUAUAGCCGUCACGCUCCGCGGCAGGGUGAGCCCUCUGUGUCAUGCUAUUCUUAUCCCAGUUUGAAAUGCACUAGGAAUGCACACAUCGACUGAUUGGCAUAUGAAAUUUCUGGCAAUUUGGAAUCUUGCAUUCGAGGAUAACCGGUAGCAUCAGCGAAAACAUUGAGACUGUACGAUUGAUGAGCUCAGUUUCACUGCUGUAGGUGAUGUUCAACUUCCUGGAUAGGCUCAUCAACCUUGGGCUCCCUAGGACCAUGGAUUUCUUAGGUGUCAACCCCAACAGCUUCGACGGGCAUGGCAACUACACCAUCGGCCUCCGCGAUCAGGGUGUGUUCCCGGAGAUCCCAUAUGAGGUCGGUGGCAAGAAGAACGGAAUGGAUGUCACCAUCGUCACCACCGCCAAGACCGACAAUGAGGCCCUCAGACUGCUCACGCUCCUCGGCAUGCCGUACGCGGAACACAUGAAGUCUGAUCAGUUCAAGAAGAAGAGGUUGAAGCGCCACCACUUCAUGAGCAAA